CUUCAGAUGGGUAAACAACUCAAAGAACAGAUGGACGAAUAAAUGUCAAAGAAACUAUGAUCGUGUAAAUGUUCCGAGUAACCAGAUCACAGAAGAGGAGACAUAAUUUAAGGAUAUUGGCACAUCAGCCUCUUCUGUGCUGCUCCGUUCCAUCAUUGUCAAAGCUUUCCAUGCAAGAUCUAUGCAUUGUUAACAGAAGGGCCAGAUGCUCUUCUCGCACACAAGGACAUGGACACUUUAGGAGGCUCUUCUGCACAUCUGGGCACAGAGCACGGAGCCCUUGCAGUUUUCAUGUGUAUCUGCCUUGGCUGAUCAACCCGUCCCUCCUACACAGUGACUGUGCUGCAGGCUGGGCCAGGCAUCCCAGGAAAAGAGCAUUACACGGGGCUCCAGGAGGGAACAUGCACACAACAAAAGCCACCCCCUCCACGUAAUCAGAUCCAUCUCUACCCCUUGGGGGCCUAGUGGCAGUUGAAUGUGCUCAGAGAUAAAUCACUUGCAGAACCUCCAGAAACAAAUAGUUCAGAUUGAAAAUAGCUACUAAGGUUUCACCUCCUUGAAUGUUUGUCUCUUCAUUUCAGCUUUUAGUUUUGCAGAAAAGAGGCUUAUAAUUGUUUUGAGGGCCAUUCCUUAGCUGUGGCAUUUGUUUCUGUUUCUAAGUAAUGUGACUACUCACAGGUUUGCCUUAAAAAUCAGUGUAUGCACUUACCCUACUCUCCCCAUGCAAACACCAGAAGUCAGCCAGUGAGUCGAUGGGUUUUACAUGGAGACGGAGAUGGAUAGAUAGCUAAAUGAUAGGUGAAGAAUAGAUUCCCCCCA
Molecule: long non-coding RNA, 819 nt
Filed under: Fukomys damarensis (Damara mole-rat)
Lineage: Eukaryota; Metazoa; Chordata; Mammalia; Rodentia; Bathyergidae
Description: lncRNA (ENSFDAG00000030242.1)
Source: RNAcentral